RNAcentral lists this unclassified non-coding RNA (317 nucleotides) under uncultured fungus. Its description in RNAcentral is "partial contains small subunit ribosomal RNA, internal transcribed spacer 1, and 5.8S ribosomal RNA". The stretch from base 1 to 73 matches the Rfam family "Eukaryotic small subunit ribosomal RNA", at positions 1759 to 1831 of the family's 1831-position model. The record is from RNAcentral. Lineage: Eukaryota; Fungi.
GCAAACUUGGUCAUUUAGAGGAAGUAAAAGUCGUAACAAGGUUUCCGUAGGUGAACCUGCGGAAGGAUCAUUAAUGAAAUGCCUAUAUAGGCCAUUUCUCUAUAUCCACCUGUGCACUAUAUGUUGUAGACUCUUGGGUUAUAGGAAGGGAGGCGAUAUAGUCUGCCUUUCUGUGUCAUGUCCAAAGUCUAUGAUGACUAUACUACAUACAUGGUUAUUGUAAUGUUGAAUAUGUUUUUUGGCUGUUAAAGCCUUUAAAUAACUAUACAACUUUCAACAACGGAUCUCUUGGCUCUCGCAUCGAUGAAGAACGCAGC